UACGGAGGGGGCAAGCGUUGUUCGGAGUUACUGGGCGUAAAGCGCACGUAGGCGGUGCGGUAAGUCAGGGGUUAAAGGCUGCAGCUCAACUGCAGUAAGGCCUUUGAUACUAUCGCGCUAGAGUACCAGAGAGGAUGGCGGAAUUCCCGGUGUAGCGGUGAAAUGCGCAGAUAUCGGGAGGAACACCAGUAGCGAAGGCGGCCAUCUGGCUGAUAACUGACGCUGAGGUGCGAGAGCGUGGGGAGCAAACAGG
RNAcentral lists this ribosomal RNA (253 nucleotides) under uncultured microorganism. RNAcentral describes it as "partial 16S ribosomal RNA". It matches the Rfam family "Bacterial small subunit ribosomal RNA", at positions 524 to 776 of the family's 1533-position model. The record is from RNAcentral.